UUAAGCUAAGAAGAGCGUAGGGAGAAUGCCUUGGCAUUAGGAGCCGACGAAGGACGUGAUAAGCUGCGAUAAGCUGCGGGGAUCAGCAAGUAUGAAUUGAUCCGCAGAUUUCCGAAUGGAGCAAUCCGUAUGUGUAUGCACAUACAUCAUAUACUGAAUCAAAUAGGUAUAUGAGGGGAACCGCCUGAACUGAAACAUCUAAGUAGGGCGAGGAAGAGAAAUCAACCGAGAUUCUGUGAGUAGUGGCGAGCGAAAGCGGAAGAGGCUAAACCAUAGGUAGCAAUACUUAUGGGGUUUCGGACAGCAUUUAGUAUUGAUAAUUUCUAGUUGAAACGUGUGGGAAAACGUACCGAAGAGUGUGAGAGUCACGUAAGCGAAAGAGAAAGUCAGCGAGCUGUAUCCAAAGUACCGCGGGACACGUGAAACCCCGUGGGAAGAUGGGGGGACCAUCCUCCAAGCCUAAAUACUACCUAAUGACCGAUAGCGAAUAGUACUGUGAAGGAACGGUGAAAAGAACCCCGGGAGGGGAGUGAAAAAGAACCUGAAACCCUAUGCUUACAAGCACCGAGAGCACGUCAAAGUGUGAUCGGGUACCUUUUGUAGAAUGGUCCGGCGAGUUAUUGUAUGCGGCAAGGUUAAGUGCUUAAGGCACGGAGCCGAAGCGAGAGCAAGUCUGAAUAGGGCGAAUAAGUCGUAUGCAAUAGACCCGAAACCGAGUGACCUAUCCAUGUCCAGGCUGAAGUGGAGGUAAAACUCCAUGGAGGGCCGAACACACGUCCGUUGAAAAGGCCGGUGAUGAGGUGUGGAUAGCGGAGAAAUUCCAAUCGAACUCGGAUAUAGCUGGUUCUCUCCGAAAUAGCUUUAGGGCUAGCCUCGUGAAAGAUUACUGGAGGUAAAGCACUGAAUGGGCUAGGGGUCGAAAGAUUACUGAACCCUAUCAAACUAAGAAUGCCAGAUAAUUGAUUCACGGGAGUCAGACAAUGUGAGAUAAGUCUCAUUGUCAAAAGGGAAACAGCCCAGACCCACAGCUAAGGUCCCUAAACAUUGUUAAGUGGAAAAGGAUGUGGGGUUGCAUAAACAACCAGGAUGUUGGCUUAGAAGCAGCCACUCAUUAAAAGAGUGCGUAAUAGCUCACUGGUCGAGUGACCCUGCGCCGAAAAUUCAACGGGGCUAAACAAUGUACCGAAGCUUGGGAUUCUAAAGUAAUUUAGAGUGGUAGGAGAGCGUCGAAUAAGGGGUGAAGUCAGAGCGGAAGCGCUGGUGGACUUUAUUCGAGUGAGAAUGCCGGAAUGAGUAGCGAGAAUUAUGUGAGAAUCAUAAUGGCCGAAAAUCUAAGGUUUCCUGAGGAAGGUUCGUCCGCUCAGGGUAAGCCGGGGGCUAAGGCGAGGCGGAGACGCGUAGCCGAUGCACAUACGGUUGAAAUUCCGUAGCCACCGAAAGAUUUAAGUACAGGGACGCUUUAGAAGUGAUGUUGCCGGGCGAUGGUUGACCCGGUCGUAAGGGAUCGAAAAUGAGUAGAGAAGUCAUCAUGGAAAGAGACAAGAAAAGCUGUAUGAAUAUCUUAGGUGCCCGUACCGCAAACCGACACAGGUAGAUAGGAAGAAGAUUCUAAGGCCAACGGGAGAAGGGUUGUUAAGGAACUCGGCAAGUUGACCCCGUAACUUAGGGAUAAGGGGUGCUCAAGUGAUUGAGCCGCAGAGAAUAGGCCCAGGCGACUGUUUAGCAAAAACACAGGUCUCUGCUAAAUCGAAAGAUGACGUAUAGGGGCUGACACCUGCCCGGUGCCGGAAGGUUAAGAGGAGAUGUGAGAGCAUUGAAUUGAAGCCCCGGUAAACGGCGGCCGUAACUAUAACGGUCCUAAGGUAGCGAAAUUCCUUGUCAGGUAAG
This 1887-nucleotide ribosomal RNA is filed under the name human gut metagenome. RNAcentral's name for it is "bacterial LSU rRNA". It matches the Rfam family "Bacterial large subunit ribosomal RNA", at positions 3 to 1980 of the family's 2925-position model. The record is from RNAcentral.